RNAcentral lists this ribosomal RNA (433 nucleotides) under uncultured bacterium. Its description in RNAcentral is "partial 16S ribosomal RNA". It matches the Rfam family "Bacterial small subunit ribosomal RNA", at positions 29 to 507 of the family's 1533-position model. The record is from RNAcentral.
AGCGAACGCUGGCGGCAGGCUUAACACAUGCAAGUCGAGCGGGCACUUCGGUGUCAGCGGCAGACGGGUAAGUAACACGUGGGAACGUACCCUUUGGUUCGGAAUAACGCUGGGAAACUAGCGCUAAUACCGGAUACGCCCUUUUGGGGAAAGGCUUGCUGCCGAAGGAUCGGCCCGCGUCUGAUUAGCUAGUUGGUGGGGUAAUGGCCUACCAAGGCGACGAUCAGUAGCUGGUCUGAGAGGAUGAUCAGCCACACUGGGACUGAGACACGGCCCAGACUCCUACGGGAGGCAGCAGUGGGGAAUAUUGGACAAUGGGCGCAAGCCUGAUCCAGCCAUGCCGCGUGAGUGAUGAAGGCCUUAGGGUUGUAAAGCUCUUUUGUCCGGGACGAUAAUGACGGUACCGGAAGAAUAAGCCCCGGCUAACUUCGUG